GUCUUUUAAGUCUGAUGUGAAAGCCCACGGCUCAACCGUGGAGGGUCAUUGGAAACUGGGAGACUUGAGUACAGAAGAGGAGAGUGGAAUUCCACGUGUAGCGGUGAAAUGCGUAGAUAUGUGGAGGAACACCAGUGGCGAAGGCGACUCUCUGGUCUGUAACUGACGCUGAGGCGCGAAAGCGUGGGGAGCAAACAGGAUUAGAUACCCUGGUAGUCCACGCUGUAAACGAUGAGUGCUAGGUGUUAGGGGUUUCGAUGCCCUUAGUGCCGAAGUUAACACAUUAAGCACUCCGCCUGGGGAGUACGACCGCAAGGUUGAAACUCAAAGGAAUUGACGGGGGCCCGCACAAGCAGUGGAGCAUGUGGUUUAAUUCGAAGCAACGCGAAGAACCUUACCAGGUCUUGACAUCCUUAGACCCCCCCAAAGAUAGGGCUUUCCCCUUCGGGGGACAAAGUGACAGGUGGUGCAUGGUUGUCGUCAGCUCGUGUCGUGAGAUGUUGGGUUAAGUCCCGCAACGAGCGCAACCCUUGAUCUUAGUUGCCAGCAUUUAGUUGGGCACUCUAAGGUGACUGCCGGUGACAAACCGGAGGAAGGUGGGGAUGACGUCAAAUCAUCAUGCCCCUUAUGACCUGGGCUACACACGUGCUACAAUGGAUGGUACAAAGAGCAGCAAAACCGCGAGGUCGAGCCAAUCUCAUAAAGCCAUUCUCAGUUCGGAUUGUAGGCUGCAACUCGCCUACAUGAAGCCGGAA
This 755-nucleotide ribosomal RNA is filed under the name Bacillus sp. enrichment culture clone TJTB21. Its description in RNAcentral is "bacterial SSU rRNA". It matches the Rfam family "Bacterial small subunit ribosomal RNA", at positions 578 to 1331 of the family's 1533-position model. The record is from RNAcentral. Lineage: Bacteria; Bacillati; Bacillota; Bacilli; Caryophanales; Bacillaceae.